RNAcentral lists this long non-coding RNA (427 nucleotides) under Homo sapiens (human). Its description in RNAcentral is "non-protein coding lnc-SMIM24-2:5". Lineage: Eukaryota; Metazoa; Chordata; Mammalia; Primates; Hominidae. The record is from RNAcentral.
AGCUGAGGCCUCCCACCAACAGCCACAUGAGGGAGCCAGAGUAGGAGUGGCUCCUCCAGCCCCAGUCGAACCUUCAGAUGUGACAGACUUGGCUGCUGACAGUUUGCAAUCUCAUGAGACCCUGAGCCAGAACCACCCAGCUAAAUCAGUCCUGGACUCCUGAUCAACAGAAAUGGUGUAGACCAAAGAGAGGCGUUUUGAACAUUAAGACGCUUUGCUGCUUCUCACCUGAAACACGUAACAGGAACACCAACCUCUUCAGCCGCGGGAAAUCUUCUUUGACACAAAACUCAAACCGAGUCAACCCAAAGUUCCAAGUUCUUUGCUUUCUCUUCUGUGUGUGUGUUGGUUUGUCCCAAAAGUCAGUUUGCAAGUUGAAACUUCAUGAAAUUACUCGUAGCAGAAAUAAAGUACAUUGUACAAAUCA